GGGACAGCCUUCUGAAAGGAAGAUUAAUACAAGAUGGCAUCAUGAGUCCGCAUGUUCACAUGAUUAAAGGUAUUCCGGUAGACGAUGGGGAUGCGUUCCAUUAGAUAGUAGGCGGGGUAACGGCCCACCUAGUCUUCGAUGGAUAGGGGUUCUGAGAGGAAGGUCCCCCACAUUGGAACUGAGACACGGUCCAAACUCCUACGGGAGGCAGCAGUGAGGAAUAUUGGUCAAUGGGCGAGAGCCUGAACCAGCCAAGUAGCGUGAAGGAUGACUGCCCUAUGGGUUGUAAACUUCUUUUAUAAAGGAAUAAAGUCGGGUAUGCAUACCCGUUUGCAUGUACUUUAUGAAUAAGGAUCGGCUAACUCCGUGCCAACAGCCGCGGUAAUACGGAGGAUCCGAGCGUUAUCCGGAUUUAUUGGGUUUAAAGGGAGCGUAGAUGGAUGUUUAAGUCAGUUGUGAAAGUUUGCGGCUCAACCGUAAAAUUGCAGUUGAUACUGGAUAUCUUGAGUGCAGUUGAGGCAGGCGGAAUUCGUGGUGUAGCGGUGAAAUGCUUAGAUAUCACGAAGAACUCCGAUUGCGAAGGCAGCCUGCUAAGCUGCAACUGACAUUGAGGCUCGAAAGUGUGGGUAUCAAACAGGAUUAGAUACCCUGGUAGUCCACACGGUAA
RNAcentral lists this ribosomal RNA (667 nucleotides) under uncultured bacterium. RNAcentral describes it as "bacterial SSU rRNA". It matches the Rfam family "Bacterial small subunit ribosomal RNA", at positions 140 to 805 of the family's 1533-position model. The record is from RNAcentral.